UAGAUGUAUAAAGAGUGGACUAUAGGGAGAGAAAAGUAGGAAGGAAGAUCCUUUAGGAAGCUAUUGCAGUAGGCUAGGAAGGUGAUAAUGAGGGUUUGUAUUAGAUUGCCAAUGGGAAAAGAUUGGAGGGGAAUGCUGAGAUCAAUCAAGAUUAGAAGGGAAGCCUUAAAUAUUCCUUUCUAAAACCCACUGAAGGAUGGCUGACUAACUUAUUAUCAUGAUAACCUUUCAGGGGUAGCAUAGUUGAGCCAAGGGGAGUAGAGAAUUACCUACACUCCUUAGGAAUAUCUUUGAUGGGAUGAUGAAGCCUUGCUCUGGUAUCCAGAACUCAUUUGUGAAGGUGAUCAACAAGGAGGACCUUUGAAAUUUGACCAGGGAUGAGGGUGUUGUCUUCCCUACAAUCUUAACAAAUAGAUGUCAGGAUUCUGAAGAUUUAGUGAAUAUUACAGCUCUUGAUUUGGUGGUCUGGAAUCAAGCCUGCAACAUCUCCAAGCCUCUGAAGCUGAGAUGCAACAAAGUAUGGAUCAUUUCUCUGCUGCUCAUGCUACUUUUGGCCUAACAAUUCAGAAGAAAAAAACACAGGUUCUUCACCAGCCAGCACCACACCAUCCCUAUAUGGAACCAUUGGUCAUAGCAAAUGGAAAAAUAUUGAAUGCUGUGGAUAAGCUCACUGACCUUGGCAGUACCUUUCCAGAGAUGUACACAUAGAUGAUGAGGUUGAUGCACACCUUGCCAGAGUUAUUUUAGUGUUUGGGAGGCUCUGAAAGAAAGUAUGGGAGAGAAGGUCCACAGAGCUACUGUGCUGAUUUCAUUGUUGUAUGCCUGUGAAACCUGGACAGCCUCCCAGUGAUAUGCCAGGAAAUUG
Molecule: non-coding RNA, 865 nt
Organism: Phascolarctos cinereus (koala)
Lineage: Eukaryota; Metazoa; Chordata; Mammalia; Diprotodontia; Phascolarctidae
Source: RefSeq, a predicted model, not a curated record